GAUGAAGAACGUAGCGAAAUGCGAUAAGUAAUGUGAAUUGCAGAAUUCCGUGAAUCAUCGAAUCUUUGAACGCACAUUGCGCCCUCUGGUAUUCCGGGGGGCAUGCCUGUCCGAGCGUCAUUGCAACCCUCAAGCGCGGCUUGUGUGUUGGGUCUUCGUCCCCCGUGGACGUGCCCGAAAUGCAGUGGCGGCGUCGUGUUCCGGUGCCCGAGCGUAUGGGGCUUUGUCACCCGCUCUUGGAGGCCCGGCCGGCGCUUGCCCAUCAGCCAUCGAGGACUCGUUCCUCAACCAGGUUGACCUCGGAUCAGGUAGGGAUACCCGCUGAACUUAAGCAUAUCAAUAAGCGGAGGA
Molecule: unclassified non-coding RNA, 351 nt
Filed under: soil metagenome
Description: partial contains 5.8S ribosomal RNA, internal transcribed spacer 2, and large subunit ribosomal RNA
Rfam family: 5.8S ribosomal RNA (bases 1-120)
Source: RNAcentral